CUCAGAACGAACGCUGGCGGCAGGCUUAACACAUGCAAGUCGAACGCUGUAGCAAUACAGAGUGGCAGACGGGUGAGUAACGCGUGGGAACGUGCCCUUCGGUUCGGAAUAACUCAGGGAAACUUGAGCUAAUACCGGAUACGUGCGAGAGCAGAAAGAUUUAUCGCCGAAGGAUCGGCCCGCGUCCGAUUAGCUAGUUGGUGAGGUAAUGGCUCACCAAGGCGACGAUCGGUAGCUGGUCUGAGAGGAUGAUCAGCCACACUGGGACUGAGACACGGCCCAGACUCCUACGGGAGGCAGCAGUGGGGAAUAUUGGACAAUGGGCGAAAGCCUGAUCCAGCCAUGCCGCGUGAGUGAGAAGGCCCUAGGGUUGUAAAGCUCUUCGCCAGGGACGAUAAUGACGGUACCUGGAUAAGAAGCCCCGGCUAACUUCGUGCCAGCAGCCGCGGUAAUACGAAGGGGGCUAGCGUUGUUCGGAUUGACUGGGCGUAAAGGGCGUGUAGGCGGUUGCCCAAGUCCGAUGUGAAAGCCCGGGGCUUAGCCUCGGAAGUGCAUCGGAAACUAGGCAGCUGGAGCGCGAUAGAGGAGGGUAGAAUUCCUGGUGUAGCGGUGAAAUGCGUAGAUAUCAGGAGGAAUACCUGUGGCGAAAGCGGCUCACUGGUCCAUAACUGACGCUGAUGCACGAAAGCUAGGGGAGCAAACAGGAUUAGUUACCCUGGUAGUCCUAGCCUUAAACGAUGACUGCUUGGUGUGGGGUACCCAAUCCCGCCGUGCCGUAGCUAACGCGAUAAGCAGUCCGCCUGGGGAGUACGGUCGCAAGGCUGAA
RNAcentral lists this ribosomal RNA (826 nucleotides) under uncultured bacterium. RNAcentral's name for it is "bacterial SSU rRNA". It matches the Rfam family "Bacterial small subunit ribosomal RNA", at positions 23 to 898 of the family's 1533-position model. The record is from RNAcentral.